Molecule: non-coding RNA, 1080 nt
Organism: Python bivittatus (Burmese python)
Lineage: Eukaryota; Metazoa; Chordata; Lepidosauria; Squamata; Pythonidae
Source: RefSeq, a predicted model, not a curated record
UCAAGUUGGUGGUCGGCACUCUAACUGGGCUGGCUUGUGCUGAUUCCAAAGGGGUUUUUAGAUCACUCAAACUGGAUACACUUUCAGAAGAGCACCUAAACCAUCUGACACCUGAUUAUGGACCAGGUGAUGAGAAGCAAGCAUGAAGAAUGAUAGCCAUGGAUACUGGAGGUUUCUAUCAACAUUAGCCACCCUUGCACAUAAUACAAGGAUUCAUAACCCAACCUGAUUUAUUGUGAACCUGAGGGGGCCAUUGUAUUCUCCCUUCCCCCAUGGUUUGUAUUUUUUGUUUUUUAUGGUAUUUAUUAAUGUGGUUUUAUAUUUUUUUUCUGUGGUUUUUAAUAUCUAUCUUUUUAUCUAACUGUUGUACGCUGCCCAGAGUCACUUUGGUGAGAUGGGCAGCUGUAUAAAUUUGCUAAAUAAAAUAAAUAACUAGGAUCAUGCUACUGCACAUAAUCUGUUUGUUCCCACUUUGCUCCUCCAUUCAUGCAAGUGGACAAAAUUAACCAAAAAUGGAGACCUUAUUUGGGGAUCUGACUUUGAAGAUUUUAGCUUUUUGCUGAUGUACAACCUUAACCUGUUUAGGAACAAUAACCCUACAUGCCAAGUAUACAUGCCAUACUGAACCUUCCUCUCCACAUGAUGACCAAUUCAAGUCCAUUGAUUCCAGAUAUGACCAAUCCAUGCCAUGUUAUACGCACCUCCCAUUUUUCUAGGAAAAGAACAUCACAGAUCCUUGGCAUACUGAAUUCUGGGUACAAUAUCAAACAGUGCAGCCGACACAUUAAUAAGAAGCAGGCCUGGGAGGGAAUCUAAUCUUCCCCUAAUGUGAAGGUCAUUUUCACCUUUCACUUUGCAGAAACACUACAACAUUUAUAUGAUACAUGAUUGAGCCAUGAUGGAAAUGCUUUAAGCAAAAGCAGAGCUGUCCUUCAGCCUAAUACUUCCCACAGCUUUAACAAUGUCUAAGCUUGUUCUUAUCAAAUCACAUCAAUUUUAACUCGCUUAGAAUUAUCAGACUGACAUAUAAAACCACAAGAUCUCUCAAGGGAACACCAAACAUAAUGAUGCUACCAUGGG